This 75-nucleotide transfer RNA is filed under the name Candidatus Pacearchaeota archaeon CG10_big_fil_rev_8_21_14_0_10_30_48. RNAcentral's name for it is "tRNA-Arg". It matches the Rfam family "tRNA". From Rfam's summary of the family: Transfer RNA (tRNA) molecules are approximately 80 nucleotides in length. Their secondary structure includes four short double-helical elements and three loops (D, anti-codon, and T loops). Lineage: Archaea; Nanobdellati. The record is from RNAcentral.
GCCCGGGUAGCUCAGCCUGGAUAGAGCGCUUCCCUCCUAAGGAAGAGGUCAAAGGUUCGAAUCCUUUUUCGGGCG